UACGGAGGGUGCAAGCGUUAUCCGGAUUCACUGGGUUUAAAGGGUGCGUAGGUGGCGGGGUAAGUCUGAUGUGAAAUCUCCGAGCUUAACUCGGAAACUGCAUCGGAUACUGCCUUGCUCGAGGGUUGGAGGGGGGACUGGAAUACUUGGUGUAGCAGUGAAAUGCGUAGAUAUCAAGUGGAACACCAGUGGCGAAGGCGAGUCCCUGGACAACUCCUGACACUGAGGCACGAAAGCUAGGGGAGCAAACAGG
RNAcentral lists this ribosomal RNA (253 nucleotides) under uncultured bacterium. RNAcentral describes it as "partial 16S ribosomal RNA". It matches the Rfam family "Bacterial small subunit ribosomal RNA", at positions 524 to 776 of the family's 1533-position model. The record is from RNAcentral.